UCUAUAUACCCAGACACCCUGAGGUCUCCUCCUGUACCCCUCUAUAUACCCAGACACCCUGAGGUCUCCUCCUGUACCCCUCUAUAUACCCAGACACCCUGAGGUCUCCUCCUCUACCCCUCUAUAGACCCAGACACCCUGAGGUCUCCUCCUCUACCCCUCUAUAGACCCAGACACCCUGAGGUCUCCUCCUCUACAGACCCAGACACCCUGAGGUCUCCUCCUGUACCCCUCUAUAUACCCAGACACCCUGAGGUCUCCUCCUCUACCCCUCUAUAUACCCAGACACCCUGAGGUCUCCUCCUGUACCCCCUAUCGGUCUCUCUCCUCUCUCUCUCUCUACACUACAACAGUAAUUUAGUAGCCUACUGUAGUGGGAUCUGUCUCUGUAUCCACAGCAUCUGAGUUGGAGUGCUGAUCCAGGAUCAGGUUCCAACCUGUCCAUAUAAUCUGAUUCAUUAUGAGCUAAAAGGCAAAACUGAUCCUACAUUAUGAAUCACUCCAUACUAGAUACUCUGAGAAGCUUUGAGGAUAGAGGCCGAGUCCCCCAGUCCUGGUGGCUAAACUGAUCCUAGAUCAGCACUGCUGCUCUGAGAAGCUUUGUGGAAACAGGCCCAGUCCCCCAGUCCUGGUGGCUAAACUGAUCCUAGAUCAGCACUGCCGCUCUGAGAAGCUUUGUGGAUACAGGCCCAGUCCUGGUGGCUAAACUGAUCCUAGAUCAGCACUGCUGCUCUGAGAAGCUUUGUGGAAACAGGCCCAGUCCCCCAGUCCUGGUGGCUAAACUGAUCCUAGAUCAGCACUGCUGCUCUGAGAAGCUUUGUGGAUACAGGCCCAGUCCUGGUGGCUAAACUGAUCCUAGAUCAGCACUGCCGCCUGAGAAGCUUUGUGGAUACAGGCCCAGUCCUGGUGGCUAAACUGAUCCCAGAUCAGCACUGCUGCUCUGAGAAGCUUUGUGGAAACAGGCCCAGUCCCCCAGUCCUGGUGGCUAAACUGAUCCCAGAUCAGCACCGUUUUUUGUUUAGUUUGUUUUUUUAUGUUGAAAACAUGUAUCCAUUGUUGGCAAUCAGUCAGAAAAGACCUGUUUAAUAUGUUAUAUAUACAGCAUUGACUAUGGCUCUAUUUUUAAAUGAAGAACGUGUGUGUGUCCAAAGGUGAUGGAGAAUGAACUAUUAACUGGCAUUAUAAUGAUGUGGUCAAAUGUCUUGGGAAUCAUGGUUGGAUUAAAUACCAGAAUGAAUUAA
Molecule: long non-coding RNA, 1241 nt
Organism: Oncorhynchus masou masou (cherry salmon)
Lineage: Eukaryota; Metazoa; Chordata; Actinopteri; Salmoniformes; Salmonidae
Exons: 2
Source: RefSeq, a predicted model, not a curated record